AGAGUUUGAUCCUGGCUCAGAAUGAACGUUGGCGGCGUGGAUUAGGCAUGCAAGUCGAGCGAGAAUUUGUGAUUGGAGGCUUCGGCUGAAGAGAUCAGAGGAAAGCGGCAAACGGCGUAGUAAUGCGUAGGUACAUACCCUCGGGUCGGGAAUAGCCAUGGGAAACUGUGGGUAAUGCCCGAUAAUCUCUGCGGAGCAAAGGUGUGAUUCCGCCUAAGGAGUGGCUUACGUGAUAUUAGCUUGUUGGUGGGGUAAUGGCCUACCAAGGCGAUGAUGUCUAGGGGGUGUGAGAGCAUGGCCCCCACGACCGGAACUGAGACACUGUCCGGACACCUACGGGUGGCUGCAGUCGAGAAUCUUCCGCAAUGGACGAAAGUCUGACGGAGCGACGCCGCGUGCGGGAUGAAGGCCCUUGGGUUGUAAACCGCUGUCAGAGGGGAUGAAAUCAUGGUUGGCUAUCCUUCCAUGUUGACAGAGCCUCAGAGGAAGCACGGGCUAAGUACGUGCCAGCAGCCGCGGUAACACGUACUGUGCGAACGUUAUUCGGAAUCACUGGGCUUAAAGGGUGCGUAGGCGGUUUAUCAAGUCAGAUGUGAAAUGCCAGAGCUCAACUGUGGCACUGCGUUUGAAACUGAUAGGCUAGAGUAUUCCAGGGGUGUGCGGAACUUAUGGUGGAGCGGUGAAAUGCGUUGAUAUCAUGAGGAACACCGGAGGCGAAGGCGGCACACUGGGGGAUUACUGACGCUGAGGCACGAAAGCUAGGGUAGCGAACGGGAUUAGAUACCCCGGUAGUCCUAGCUGUAAACGAUGAGCACUGGGCGAGAGGCGAUUCGUCGCUUUUUGCCGUAGCGAAAGCAUUAAGUGUCCGCCUGGAGAUGA
This 879-nucleotide ribosomal RNA is filed under the name uncultured bacterium. RNAcentral's name for it is "bacterial SSU rRNA". It matches the Rfam family "Bacterial small subunit ribosomal RNA", at positions 9 to 873 of the family's 1533-position model. The record is from RNAcentral.